GGUAGAGGACAGUUACCACCCCGAAUGCACCACAUCUUGUCUGAUCUCAGAAGCUAAGCAGGGUCAGGCCUGGUUAGUACUUGUAUAAAGAUGUUUUAAACCUAUUAUACCACUAUUA
Molecule: ribosomal RNA, 118 nt
Organism: Colobus angolensis palliatus
Lineage: Eukaryota; Metazoa; Chordata; Mammalia; Primates; Cercopithecidae
Source: Ensembl